CCUACGGGGGGCAGCAGUAGGGAAUCUUCCACAAUGGGCGAAAGCCCGAUGGAGCAACGCCGCGUGGGUGAAGAAGGUCUUCGGAUCGUAAAACCCUGUUGUUAGAGAAGAAAGAGGGUGAGAGUAACUGUUCACGCGUUGACGGUAUCUAAACAGAAAGCCACGGCUAACUACGUGCCAGCAGCCGCGGUAAUACGUAGGUGGCAAGCGUUGUCCGGAUUUAUUGGGCGUAAAGAGAACGCAGGCGGUUAUUUAAGUCUGAUGUGAAAGCCUCCGGCUCAAGCGGGGUGGGGCAUUGGAAACUG
Molecule: ribosomal RNA, 305 nt
Filed under: uncultured bacterium
Lineage: Bacteria
Description: bacterial SSU rRNA
Rfam family: Bacterial small subunit ribosomal RNA
Source: RNAcentral